ACCAUGUUUCUUUUAAGGUAAUCAACAAAAUUUGUAAUUGGGAAUUGUAUAAAGAAACCAAAAAUCAUAAAGAACGUUGUGUAUAAGUACUGCACAGUUCACAGGCUUCUGGAAAGUAGAAAAUAAUGAAAAAAAAAUUAGGGAGAAAUAUAAACCGCCAACACUGUUCCAAAACCUACUUAUUAGGUGUUCAUCUAACCUAAUUGAACUUUGAUAAGAAAAAAAAAACGAUAUACAAGAAAGGGAAUAAACCUCUGAUCAUUUGAGAGAGAAAUGGGAGCAGGAAAAUACAAUUUGGUUUACCUCCAAUGUCAUUGGCUUUAGCAACUGGAGGGCAGACAUCAUGUCAGCAAGAUUUGCAGCUUCAUCAUGAAUACUUCUAAAAAAUGAUUGGUGUUAUACAACAAGAAUAUUCUUUGACUCUUAUAGCAUUCUUGUUUUUUUAAGUCUUCCUUUGAUGAUUUGAUGGGCAUCAUUUUCCAUGUUUCUUCUUUCUCCUUGGUGCGCCCCCAUUAGCAGGAUCUACCAAUGGGCCUGACCAGGUUUGGAUGUUUGCUUUAGGUUGUGAGAAGUUUGUGGAACUAAAUGGAACAUCAGGAGGAUCAAAAACUGGAUCCAUGUGAUGUGAAGAACCCAGUGGAUAGCCUAGAGCUCCAUCUUGGUGAGGAGGAGGAAACUUUUCACUCUUGCUCUUAGCAUUUGCAUGUGUGAUCAGCCGCCGUCUCUACAGUAAGAAUUAAAGUUCAGCAUUGGCCUCUGGAACUGGAAUUCCCCGCCCAGCUCGCUCUCGAGGACGAGAUUUCUUGACACCGUCAACAUUAGCUUUACCAGCUGCUCUCAAUCUACAAGAUGACAUUGAAAUUAAAUACUGA
RNAcentral lists this small RNA (872 nucleotides) under Vigna angularis var. angularis. RNAcentral's name for it is "Non-protein coding transcript". The record is from RNAcentral. Lineage: Eukaryota; Viridiplantae; Streptophyta; Magnoliopsida; Fabales; Fabaceae.